This 650-nucleotide ribosomal RNA is filed under the name uncultured bacterium. RNAcentral's name for it is "bacterial SSU rRNA". It matches the Rfam family "Bacterial small subunit ribosomal RNA", at positions 97 to 781 of the family's 1533-position model. The record is from RNAcentral.
GGCGGACGGGUGAGUAACGCGUGAGAAUCUGGCCUUAGGUUCGGGACAACCACUGGAAACGGUGGCUAAUACCGAAUAUGCUGAGAAGUGAAAGAUUAAUUGCCUGAGGAUGAGCUCGCGUCUGAUUAGCUAGUUGGUAGGGUAAGAGCCUACCAAGGCGACGAUCAGUAACUGGUCUGAGAGGAUGAUCAGUCACACUGGGACUGAGACACGGCCCAGACUCCUACGGGAGGCAGCAGUGGGGAAUUUUCCGCAAUGGGCGCAAGCCUGACGGAGCAAUACCGCGUGGGGGAGGAAGGUUCUUGGAUUGUAAACCCCUUUUCUCAGGGAAGAAGUUCUGACGGUACCUGAGGAAUCAGCAUCGGCUAACUCCGUGCCAGCAGCCGCGGUAAUACGGAGGAUGCAAGCGUUAUCCGGAAUGAUUGGGCGUAAAGCGUCCGCAGGUGGCAGUUCAAGUCUGCUGUCAAAGACUGGGGCUCAACCCUGGAAAGGCAGUGGAAACUGAGCAGCUAGAGUAUGGUGGGGGUAGAGGGAAUUCCCAGUGUAGCGGUGAAAUGCGUAGAGAUUGGGAAGAACACCGGUGGCGAAAGCGCUCUGCUAGACCAUAACUGACACUCAGGGACGAAAGCUAGGGGAGCGAAUGGGAUUAG